UAUUGGAAAAUGGGGGGAACCCUGAUCCAGCGACGCCGCGUGAGUGAAGAAGUAUUUCGGUAUGUAAAGCUCUAUCAGCAGGGAAGAAAGAAAUGACGGUACCUGACUAAGAAGCCCCGGCUAACUACGUGCCAGCAGCCGCGGUAGUACGUAGGGGGCAAGCGUUAUCCGGAAUUACUGGGUGUAAAGGGAGCGUAGACGGUGAUGCAGGUCAGAAGUGAAAGCCCGGGGCUCAACUCCGGGACUGCUUUUGAAACUGUGUAACUGGAGUGCAGGAGAGGUAAGCGGAAUUCCUAGUGUAGCGGUGAAAUGCGUAGAUAUUAGGAGGAACACCAGUGGCGAAGGCGGCUUACUGGACUGUAACUGACGUUGAGGCUCGAAAGCGUGGGGAGCAAACAG
This 399-nucleotide ribosomal RNA is filed under the name uncultured bacterium. RNAcentral describes it as "bacterial SSU rRNA". It matches the Rfam family "Bacterial small subunit ribosomal RNA", at positions 362 to 775 of the family's 1533-position model. The record is from RNAcentral.